Molecule: ribosomal RNA, 468 nt
Filed under: uncultured bacterium
Lineage: Bacteria
Description: bacterial SSU rRNA
Rfam family: Bacterial small subunit ribosomal RNA
Source: RNAcentral
AUUGAACGCUGGCGGCAUGCCUUACACAUGCAAGUCGAACGGCAGCACGGGAGCAAUCCUGGUGGCGAGUGGCGAACGGGUGAGUAAUAUAUCGGAACGUGCCCGGUCGUGGGGAUAACGUAGCGAAAGCUACGCUAAUACCGCAUACGAUCUACGGAUGAAAGCGGGGGAUCGCAAGACCUCGCGCGAUUGGAGCGGCCGAUAUCAGAUUAGGUAGUUGGUGAGGUAAAGGCUCACCAAGCCGACGAUCUGUAGCUGGUCUGAGAGGACGACCAGCCACACUGGGACUGAGACACGGCCCAGACUCCUACGGGAGGCAGCAGUGGGGAAUUUUGGACAAUGGGCGCAAGCCUGAUCCAGCAAUGCCGCGUGCAGGAUGAAGGCCUUCGGGUUGUAAACUGCUUUGUUACGGAACGAACGGUAGAGCUCUAAUACAGUUUGCUAAUGACGGUACCGUAAGAAUAAGCA